GUGCUUGUUUUGGCAGCACAUAUACUAAGACUGGAACGAUACAGAGAAGAUUAGCAUGGCCCCUGAGUAAGGAUAAUAUGCAAAUUUGUGAAGUGUUUCAUAUUUCU
Oryctolagus cuniculus (rabbit) is the source of this 107-nucleotide small nuclear RNA. NCBI's taxonomy places the organism in Eukaryota, Metazoa, Chordata, Mammalia, Lagomorpha, Leporidae. The record is from Ensembl.